GAUGGGGAGCGAAAUUUAGUAGCGAAGUAGCUGAUUUCACACUGUCAAGAAAAGUCUCUAUCGAGGUUAAAGGUACCCGUACCGCAAACCGACACAGGUGGGUGAGGAGAGUAUCCUAAGGCCAGCGAGAGAACUGUUGUUAAGGAACUCGGCAAAAUGACCCCGUAACUUAGGGAUAAGGGGUGCCACCAUCAGGUGGCCGCAGAGAAUAGGCCCAAGCGACUGUUUACCAAAAACAUAGGUUUCUGCUAAGUCGCAAGACGAUGUAUAGGAGCUGACGCCUGCCCGGUGCUGGAAGGUUAAGGGGAUCUGUUAGAGCAAUCGAAGCAGUGAACUUAAGCCCCAGUAAACGGCGGCCGUAACUAUAACGGUCCUAAGGUAGCGAAAUUCCUUGUCGGGUAAGUUCCGACCCGCACGAAAGGCGUAACGAUUUGGGCACUGUCUCAACAACAGACUCGGUGAAAUUGUAAUUCCGGUGAAGAUGCCGGAUACCUGCGACAGGACGGAAAGACCCCAUGGAGCUUUACUGUAGCUUGACAUUGGGUCUUGGUACUACAUGUACAGGAUAGGUGGGAGGCUUUGAAACCAGGACGCCAGUUUUGGCGGAGCCAUCCUUGGGAUACCACCCUUGUAGUACUGGGACUCUAACCAUAGGCCAUGAAUCUGGUCUUGGGACACUGUCAGGUGGGCAGUUUGACUGGGGCGGUCGCCUCCCAAAAGGUAACGGAGGCGCUCAAAGGUUCUCUCAGUACGGUCGGAAAUCGUACGUAGAGUGUAAAGGCAAAAGAGAGCUUGAUUGCAAGACAUACAGGUCGAGCAAGGAUGAAAAUCGGACUUAGUGAUCCGGUGGUUCUGCGUGGAAGGGCCAUCGCUCAACGGAUAAAAGCUACCCUGGGGAUAACAGGCUUAUCUCCCCCAAGAGUCCACAUCGACGGGGAGGUUUGGCACCUCGAUGUCGGCUCAUCACAUCCUGGGGCUGUAGUAGGUCCCAAGGGUUGGGCUGUUCGCCCAUUAAAGUGGUACGCG
This 1026-nucleotide ribosomal RNA is filed under the name Clostridioides difficile. RNAcentral describes it as "bacterial LSU rRNA". It matches the Rfam family "Bacterial large subunit ribosomal RNA", at positions 1565 to 2602 of the family's 2925-position model. The record is from RNAcentral. Lineage: Bacteria; Bacillati; Bacillota; Clostridia; Peptostreptococcales; Peptostreptococcaceae.